Poecilia formosa (Amazon molly) is the source of this 74-nucleotide non-coding RNA. NCBI's taxonomy places the organism in Eukaryota, Metazoa, Chordata, Actinopteri, Cyprinodontiformes, Poeciliidae. The record is from Rfam.
GUUCCUGUAGUGUAGUGGUUAUCAUGUUUGCUUUACAUGCCAAAGGUCUCUGGUUCGAAACCAGACAGAAAACG